CAUGCCCGGUGGCCAAUCCUCUCCAGACGCGGAGACGCCACUCCCGAACGGAGGCAUGUCGAUCCCUGCUGCCCUUCCUCGCCAGAACGACGCGCGUCCUCACCAUGAAUGUUUCCGCCAUGACCUCCUCACAAAUUCUCAUAAAAUCACCCAAUAAAUCCGGGGAUUGAACGAGUGGAAACGGCUCCAUGGAACUCAUCCGUCGCCGCCGGCUCCAUGUUAAAAACUAGGCCUUGCUGCCAUCCGCAUGAAGCACAACAGCAUGCUCACGCCUCCACACAUGGCCGCUCCCCAUUCUAAUUCAUCUUUCCUUUUCUUAAUCCCUCAGCAUAUGUUUGUUAGUGUUUCAGGUUGUGCUCCACCCGGCUCGAGAGUUAAUCCACAUUUCCCCACGCCACCUGAUUUGAUUGGGUUUUGAUUGGAUUGUACAAGCUGCUCGAGAUCCACAAAAUUCGUUGAGGAAGCGGCCGCCCGCAUCUGAAAGUCGUUGAGGAACGCCACGGCUAGAGAUCUACAAAAUUUGAUCUAUCCAAACCUCCAAAGUAAGAUUAGUUAUCUGCCUUCAUAAUAAAAUAUUGCUUCUCCUUCCCCGGCCUGCACAGGCCGUCACCUUGCCGUUGCGGGCUUGCGGCCAUGUUCCACCAUCAGAUCUUGACAAGUCAUAUCUCUACUUGCCCUUUGACAUUGAUGGAGUGGUUAAUAGUUAGCGGAUUUUGAUCUAGAAUACUGAUUCGCUCUCUUCCCUGUUUUGGUUUAUCGUUGGAGUGGUUAAUAUUUAGCGGAUUUUGAUCUAGAAUACUGAUUCGCUCUCUCCCCUGUUUUGAUUUAUCUAUAAUUUUAUCUGCAAAGAUUAGGAAUUUUUCAGAUUGAUUACGAGAAGUAUAUUUACUCCCUGUUGAGUUCUUGAGGUGGACUACAAAACUGCAUAGCGAUAUUCACUAAAAGACCCUCUGUAAGUAUAUUUCUCCCUGUGAUUAUCUUUUUUAGUUCUAUUGUGGAAACUGAGUUCUACACAUGGGCUCAUAUAUCAGUGCAAUUCCUCUUUCAGAGCUUAUUCUUCUCCAGUGCAGUGCAGCAGUUUGGUAUAUGGCAAACUUUUUCCUCUUAGUUCAUCUUGAAAACAGAGUACUUUAGAUAGGCUCAUACAUCAGUGCAAGUCCUCCGUCAGAGUUCAUUCUUCUCCAAUGUUGUGUAGCCCAGUAGGAGUUCAGGGUAUGAGUAUAUGACACACUUUCUUUUAGUGAAAACAGAGAUUUCUUUUAGUGGGUUCAUAUGCCAGCUCAUUAUUCUCCUAUGUUCUAUAACAAUUUGGGGUAUGGCAACUGCUCUUGCCUUUCUAAGUUUUUAUGCCCAGGUUUGAUUUCUUCGAUGGUAUAUGAGACUUCAACUGUAGCUAACAAGGACUUGGUUGUGCAUGAUAAUGGACACUUUCAUACAGGUGAAUAAACAAAAGUUCAUUCUGAAGUCACUUUCAGGCAGUCGAGUGUCCAUCCCUCGAGAUACAUAUAGUACAUAAUUGUCAUAGUGGUCUUACUCGUGUCCGUAUCUUCACAGGUCAUCACAUAGAAGUGGUUUUUUACUUUUCAAUAGCCAGAUAUCAUUAUAUCAGAGCAGUAUAUUCAGCUUUUGGUGUAUUUUGGAUUACUCAUCACAUAGAUGAGAGUUGUCAACUGAGAGCAUGCUCAUGUUCAUCGUGAGGAGCGAGGCAGCUAGACAGUUUUUCAUAUAUUCGAAGAACUACAUCUCUACAUAUUGCAGAUUUUGCAUCACUUGGGCUGUAGACUUUCACCACAUGCAUGCAACUGCUGCAAAGACUCAGUUUCUACCAUCAGUCAGCUGUUACAACUUGACUCACCUUUUAGUUUUUUAAUGUCCUAACAAAAUACCAUUUUUGCACCAACAUUUUGCCUAUUCAUAAAGAAAUACUUUAUGUCCAUGGAGAAUGGAAACGGCUUUGUCAUUUUCGAAUUUAACCAAUGAUGUGACUCAAGUACCUUCAAUUGAAUCAUUGUCUUAGUAUACAUGCAGGUAUGUAAGUUCAGUACAGAUGUACCUUCAUUUUUUGCGCUGGAAAGGUCUUCGGCAAAAAGAUUGUUUAUUCAAAUGCAUUCCAAGUAACUAAACUUCAAGAUAGCUAGACUGCCGCAGUCGUCACCAUGGGUCCUUCCUGUUUGUUUGGCUCCACCACCAAUCUAUACUACACUUUUAUGAGCCAAUAUACAUGUAGCAUUUGGUUUAUCCUUUUGAUGACUUUUAUCUCCUAUAUCUUUUGGAGCUCAUUGUAGGUUUUAGACCCAACCUGUACCGAAUGACUUUAUUUGUUGAAUUGUAUUCCCAUUUUUGUGUGAAAAUAUUGAAUUCUAUUUUCUAACAGAUGUAUUCAUUUGUAUCUAUGCAAACUCCUCUACAUAGUACACGUCUUUUUUUCUCCACAAAACUAUUUAUGCUGAUUUCGUAUAGUUAUUGCUCUUUUAUGUCCGCUGCAACGCGCGGGGCAUCAUCUAGUAUGUCUAACAAUGCAAUUGAUGAGAUCUGCAGUCCAUAUAGGCUGCAGAUUACAAAAUUUCAAAAGAAAAUACUCAUAACUAAAGCCACAGAAAAAACAAAGAAGCCACAGAACCAAGACGGCUAGCCACUAGGGAGCUCGAAAAUGUUAAGUGCGAUGUGCUUUUAUGCUUGCAAAUAAAAUUGUUAUGCAGUAUUCAUGACUUUACUAAUAAAAACAUGUAUAUUUCUCUUAUGCAGGAUACAGGAAAUUACUCACAAACAGUUAACGAUGAUAUGCUAGAUGACUUCUUCAAUCAGGAAGGAUUUUCAUAUACAUGAUUGCUUCUUGGAACUAUGAAAAAAAAUGAAGUGAAUCAAAUAAGCGGUGACCAGGGACAAACUAACAAGGACACAGAGGAUGACAAGGUGGACACAUCUACUUCGUUCCUGGAAGAAGAAAUUGAUGAUCCAUGGAAUUUAAACAUGUUUGACAACAUGAACCUAGAUCAGGUUACUGAUAAUCCAAGUACAGAGCAAAACUAUGGGAUGAAGCACCCAAUGUCAGAGGAUUACCAUGAUCAAGCAUCGACAAGCACGAUUACUGACAACUCACCCAAUCAAACUGAAGAACAGCGCAAGGACAUAAUUGAAGAAGAUAUACACAUAUUCCUACAAAAUGAAGAGUUAGCUGCUGAGGGAAAGGAAAUGGAGGAGGAUACACAAAAUGAA
This is a non-coding RNA of Lolium perenne, 3216 nucleotides long. The record is from RefSeq and is a predicted model, not a curated record. Lineage: Eukaryota; Viridiplantae; Streptophyta; Magnoliopsida; Poales; Poaceae.